Molecule: small nucleolar RNA, 138 nt
Organism: Ornithorhynchus anatinus (platypus)
Lineage: Eukaryota; Metazoa; Chordata; Mammalia; Monotremata; Ornithorhynchidae
Source: RefSeq, a predicted model, not a curated record
CCCCUCACAGGAUCGCACCUAGAGAGUUUCUAGUAUUCUACCAGUCUUGGCUAAAAGAGAGACAGUCAAGCAGAGGCACACCCAUUCCAUUCGUAGCUUGGUCACUGGCUAGCGAGUGGAAGGCAAUCUGCUACAGGU